AAAUUGAAGAGUUUGAUCAUGGCUCAGAUUGAACGCUGGCGGCAGGCCUAACACAUGCAAGUCGAGCGGCAGCGG
This 75-nucleotide ribosomal RNA is filed under the name Yersinia enterocolitica. RNAcentral describes it as "partial 16S ribosomal RNA". It matches the Rfam family "Bacterial small subunit ribosomal RNA", at positions 1 to 75 of the family's 1533-position model. RNAcentral also lists the same sequence under 7 other names. Lineage: Bacteria; Pseudomonadati; Pseudomonadota; Gammaproteobacteria; Enterobacterales; Yersiniaceae. The record is from RNAcentral.